RNAcentral lists this ribosomal RNA (449 nucleotides) under uncultured bacterium. Its description in RNAcentral is "partial 16S ribosomal RNA". It matches the Rfam family "Bacterial small subunit ribosomal RNA", at positions 29 to 523 of the family's 1533-position model. The record is from RNAcentral.
AACGAACGCUGGCGGCAUGCCUAACACAUGCAAGUCGAACGAGAUCUUCGGGUCUAGUGGCGCACGGGUGCGUAACGCGUGGGAAUCUGCCCUUUGGUUCGGAAUAACAGUUGGAAACGACUGCUAAUACCGGAUGAUGACGAAAGUCCAAAGAUUUGUCGCCAGAGGAUGAGCCCGCGUAGGAUUAGCUAGUUGGUGUGGUAAAGGCGCACCAAGGCGACGAUCCUUAGCUGGUCUGAGAGGAUGAUCAGCCACACUGGGACUGGGACACGGCCCAGACUCCUACGGGAGGCAGCAGUGGGGAAUAUUGGACAAUGGGCGAAAGCCUGAUCCAGCAAUGCCGCGUGAGUGAUGAAGGCCUUAGGGUUGUAAAGCUCUUUUACCCGGGAUGAUAAUGACAGUACCGGGAGAAUAAGCUCCGGCUAACUCCGUGCCAGCAGCCGCCGUAA